Molecule: long non-coding RNA, 1377 nt
Filed under: Medicago truncatula (barrel medic)
Lineage: Eukaryota; Viridiplantae; Streptophyta; Magnoliopsida; Fabales; Fabaceae
Description: long non-coding RNA (MTRU_LNC007731)
Source: RNAcentral
GCUAAAAGAAGAUUUUGCAGAUAACCAUUUGGAAUCCUCAUAAGACAAAAUUGACACAAAAUGCAAGUUAUUGUGCUUCAGAGCACUCUAUAGGCUAAAAGAAGAUUUUGCAGAUAAUCAUUUUGGAAUCCUCAUAAGACAAAAUUGACACAAAAUGCAACUUAUUGUACUUCAGAGCACUCUAUAGGCUAAUGUACUAUAGGUUUGAAGUUUCUGCAACCGCAUAUUAUUGUUAUAUAGUAUGGAUUUCUUAAGCAUAGCAUAAAUCCAUUUUUAAUAAUUAUCAAUUGACAGAAAAAGGAAAAACAAAGCCCUCAGAUAUCAAAAUCAUCUACGGCAUUUGCAAUGGCUUCAUUCACAACCUUCUUGCACCAUAAAUAGAUAGACUGAUAUAGAUAGCCAGUGAGAGAGAGAGAGAAGGAGAGAGAGGGACAUACAUACAUACAUACAUACAUACAUACAUACAGAGACACACACACACAUAGAGUGAGUGAGAAAGAGGGAAUGGUGCAAGUGGAGUUAUGAACAAAACCAUGUAGUCGCAUCAUUGGGCUGCAUCUAUGAAAAGUUGUUUCAUUUUCACUAUUUAAUUCAGAGUAAAAAUAUUAUUUUUUUCGAACAAGCCAAACUAACCCACCGAAAUUGGCACCGGGGAGAAUUGAAUUUGAGACCUUGAGAGGAGCACACUCCAAGGUUCCAAACCAACACCACUAGGCCAAUCCAAGUGGUUUGAGUAAAAAUCCAUGUCAUCCAUUUAAACUUCUGCAAUUUAAAAUCAAGAGAAAACGAAAAGAAUACCCAAACAAUAGGAAACAGAAAAAUAAAUUAAUAUGAAACUCUAAAUUCAAAGCGAAACUAUAUCCCAUCCAAGUUUAAUUGAAAUGAACAUGUUAAACAUAACAUCAACUCGUAAAACAAAAAAUAUGUUAACAUUGAAAGUUGUAGAGCUGUUUAAGAAGAUAUGAAAUGCAAAAGUACUUGCACAUUUAUUCUAGCCAUGAACUACAGUUCCAUUAAGAGUAAAAGUAGGUAAAUGAUAGACAAUUAUGGCACAUCAACAAACAACAACAAUCAAGUCUUUUCCCAUGGAUCAAAUUACGCCAUAAUGUUGUAAAUUAUGAAAAAUAACUUGCAAAAACAGACAAAGUAAAUUAGAAAGAUUAGGGAAUAGACAUGCAGCUAGAGUUCGUAAGAUAAGAUAUAUAAAUUAAGUGAAGAAAAGAACAAACAAACAAAAUUAUCCAAACAUAAGAUACCAAUUCCGCCCUCAGAUAUAGUUAGAUUGGUAGUUUUUCAAAGCCUCUCCUCAACAUCCAACAAGGCAAUGCACAUAAAGCAUAACCUCCACCAUCUCACCCACUGUCACUAUGAAUAAUA